CGCCGCCAGCUCCCGAGGAGAGACAGCUUGCGCACUAGGAUCUAGAGGCCAGCCAAGCCGGGACACACCCUGAGGCCCAGAUGGAGGACAUCACAGGAGGGGAACAGACCGGAGGACCCCCCGAAGCAGAGAACCUGGCGUUUAUGCCAAGCAGCUGCCCCUUUCCAGUUUCCCUGUUCAAACACGGAACGUUAACUUCAAGGGAGCUCUCCGGAUCUGGGCGUACGACCGGCAUCUGCGCUAAACACAGGAUCGGCUUAUCCAGGUGAAGGACUCCAGCUCUCAUCCCCUGCUAUGGCUCACGUGCACUGGGACGCACAGGUGGGGCGCUUCCGGAUGACAAUCCCCAGGGGUUUGCUGCUCAGCGUGCUGAUUUACAACGCGGUCUCUGGUAUCCGAUGUCCAGAGAAGGC
Long non-coding RNA from Terrapene triunguis (Three-toed box turtle), 413 nucleotides. RefSeq lists it as uncharacterized. The record is from RefSeq and is a predicted model, not a curated record. NCBI's taxonomy places the organism in Eukaryota, Metazoa, Chordata, Testudines, Emydidae. The transcript has 3 exons.